Molecule: ribosomal RNA, 407 nt
Filed under: Levilactobacillus brevis
Lineage: Bacteria; Bacillati; Bacillota; Bacilli; Lactobacillales; Lactobacillaceae
Description: Lactobacillus brevis partial 16S ribosomal RNA
Rfam family: Bacterial small subunit ribosomal RNA
Source: RNAcentral
AACUGGUGAGUAACACGUGGGGAAUCUGCCCAGAAGCAGGGGAUAACACUUGGAAACAGGUGCUAAUACCGUAUAACAACAAAAUCCGCAUGGAUUUUGUUUGAAAGGUGGCUUCSGCUAUCACUUCUGGAUGAUCCCSCGGCGUAUUAGUUARUUGGUGAGGUAAAGGCCCACCAAGACSAUGAUACKUARCCSACCUGAGAGGGUAAUCSGCCACRUUGGGACUGARACACGGCCCAAACUCCUACGGGAGGCAGCAGUAGGGAAUCUUCCACAAUGGACGAAAGUCUGAUGGAGCAAUGCCGCGUGAGUGAAGAAGGGUUUCGGCUCGUAAAACUCUGUUGUUAAAGAAGAACACCUUUGAGAGUAACUGUUCAAGGGUUGACGGUAUUUAACCAGAAAGCCAC